This is a long non-coding RNA of Nomascus leucogenys (northern white-cheeked gibbon), 456 nucleotides long. RefSeq lists it as uncharacterized. The record is from RefSeq and is a predicted model, not a curated record. NCBI's taxonomy places the organism in Eukaryota, Metazoa, Chordata, Mammalia, Primates, Hylobatidae. The transcript is spliced from 4 exons.
GAUGGGAUUAAUGCAUUUGCUUACUCAGGCAGAGGACAGAAAGACCAUUGCAAGUGUUCAUCAGCAUUUUCCUGCUCUUAGAUAGAAAGGGCCAAGGCCACCCCAAGCAUGCUGAAAUUAAUGGGCCAUUGUCAGGAAGGAGUUUACAACUGCAUAUGGAGCCAGGCUCUGAUAUGGUUUGGCUCAGUGUCGUCACCCAGAUGUCAUCUUGAAUUGUAAUCCCCACAUGUCGAGAGAGAGAGGUGAUUGGAUCAAGGAGGUGGUUUCCCCUCUGCUGUUCUUGUGACGAACAAAUGGAGAGACCUCGUUUAGUCGAUUGAUGGUAGCAACAAGGAAGACGGCAAAUGGAGAAAUGACAUCUCAUGACCCAGGUGGAUCAGCAUCUGCAGUUUAACAAGCUCCCGAGGGGUGAGUGCACAUGAAGGAUUGAGAAGUAUUGCUCCAAAUAACCAGACC